This 19-nucleotide ribosomal RNA is filed under the name Beauveria bassiana. Its description in RNAcentral is "partial 28S ribosomal RNA". Lineage: Eukaryota; Fungi; Ascomycota; Sordariomycetes; Hypocreales; Cordycipitaceae. The record is from RNAcentral.
GUGACCUCGAAUCAGGUAG